CCUUAAGUCAGAAAGAUGAGAUAAACAGGAUGGCCAUUAAAACACAAAAACACACGCUAUCACCAACUGUGUGAAGAUCAGCAUCAGAUUAAAUCCAGUUCAGUGAGUAGUGUUUAUGCAUCUCUCAGCCAGACAGGAUGUUCUACUGAUGUUUCAGACUGGGCUCCUGCUGAGCAGUGUGUAGCACAGGGAUUGCAUCUCACCGUGCAAGAGAAGCUACCACAAAGAGGGAAAGCCACAUCCAGUCUCUGAAGAGCUACAUGUUACUUCAGCCUCUUGUUGGGGACUUCUUGUUCAAGCGGAGUUUCUACGAUGCCUGAUUCAGCAGCGUUCUGGGAUCCUUCUCUGCAGAACUUAGUCUUCCAAGUCAGAUGUUCAAUGCCCAGGAGAAGACUUGGAAAACCAGAAGGAUUCUGAUUUCAGUCAUCUGGCUUCUGCUAUGAGAAAACGCCUCCCCUAAAGCCAUCUCUUAAAAG
This is a long non-coding RNA of Tympanuchus pallidicinctus (lesser prairie-chicken), 476 nucleotides long. RefSeq lists it as uncharacterized. The record is from RefSeq and is a predicted model, not a curated record. The transcript has 3 exons. NCBI's taxonomy places the organism in Eukaryota, Metazoa, Chordata, Aves, Galliformes, Phasianidae.